AUGUUGAGUUUCGCGGCGGCUUCGUCGUCGUGGAACUUGUUGCGGCUUGGUUAUGGUCAGGAACGGAGCCACCGACGGUCUUGUGCAGGGCUGGCCUUAAGUUUCGGUGUUUAUGGCAUAAAGGAUCUUAGUCCUUCUUUUCAAAUCGAAGCUCUUUUAGUUAUGCUUUUUCCAAUCUUUAUUUCUAAUCUGGUUUGUUUGUGA
Non-coding RNA from Vicia faba (fava bean), 204 nucleotides. Lineage: Eukaryota; Viridiplantae; Streptophyta; Magnoliopsida; Fabales; Fabaceae. The record is from the annotation of a GenBank genome assembly.